AGUGAACGCUGGCGGUAGGCCUAACACAUGCAAGUCGAACGGCAGCACAGUAAGAGCUUGCUCUUACGGGUGGCGAGUGGCGGACGGGUGAGGAAUACAUCGGAAUCUACUUUUUCGUGGGGGAUAACGUAGGGAAACUUACGCUAAUACCGCAUACGACCUACGGGUGAAAGCAGGGGAUCUUCGGACCUUGCGCGAUUGAAUGAGCCGAUGUCGGAUUAGCUAGUUGGCGGGGUAAAGGCCCACCAAGUCGACGAUCCGUAGCUGGUCUGAGAGGAUGAUCAGCCACACUGGAACUGAGACACGGUCCAGACUCCUACGGGAGGCAGCAGUGUGGAAUAUUGGACAAUGGGCGCAAGCCUGAUCCAGCCAUACCGCGUGGGUGAAGAAGGCCUUCGGGUUGUAAAGCCCUUUUGUUGGGAAAGAAAAGCAGCAGGUUAAUACCCCGCUGUUCUGACGGUACCCAAUGAAUAAGCACCGGCUAACUUCGUG
Molecule: ribosomal RNA, 492 nt
Filed under: uncultured bacterium
Lineage: Bacteria
Description: partial 16S ribosomal RNA
Rfam family: Bacterial small subunit ribosomal RNA
Source: RNAcentral